UAACACAUGCAAGUCGAACGAGCGAGAGGAGGUUUACUUUCUCAAGCGAGUGGCGAACGGGUGAGUAACGCGUGAGGAACCUGCCUCAAAGAGGGGGACAACAGUUGGAAACGACUGCUAAUACCGCAUAAGCCCACGACCCGGCAUCGGGUAGAGGGAAAAGGAGCAAUCCGCUUUGAGAUGGCCUCGCGUCCGAUUAGCUAGUUGGUGAGGUAAUGGCCCACCAAGGCGACGAUCGGUAGCCGGACUGAGAGGUUGAACGGCCACAUUGGGACUGAGACACGGCCCAGACUCCUACGGGAGGCAGCAGUGGGGAAUAUUGCACAAUGGGGGAAACCCUGAUGCAGCGACGCCGCGUGGAGGAAGAAGGUCUUCGGAUUGUAAACUCCUGUUGUUGAGGAAGAUAAUGACGGUACUCAACAAGGAAGUGACGGCUAACUACGUGCCAGCAGCCGCGGUAAAACGUAGGUCACAAGCGUUGUCCGGAAUUACUGGGUGUAAAGGGAGCGCAGGCGGGAAGACAAGUUGGAAGUGAAAUCCAUGGGCUCAACCCAUGAACUGCUUUCAAAACUGUUUUUCUUGAGUAGUGCAGAGGUAGGCGGAAUUCCCGGUGUAGCGGUGGAAUGCGUAGAUAUCGGGAGGAACACCAGUGGCGAAGGCGGCCUACUGGGCACCAACUGACGCUGAGGCUCGAAAGUGUGGGUAGCAAACAGGAUUAGAUACCCUGGUAGUCCACACUGUAAACGAUGAUUACUAGGUGUUGGAGGAUUGACCCCUUCAGUGCCGCAGUUAACACAAUAA
Molecule: ribosomal RNA, 801 nt
Filed under: uncultured bacterium
Lineage: Bacteria
Description: bacterial SSU rRNA
Rfam family: Bacterial small subunit ribosomal RNA
Source: RNAcentral